Microplitis mediator is the source of this 1776-nucleotide RNA transcript. It is a transcript of the gene named phosphatidylserine synthase, with no coding region annotated. The record is from RefSeq and is a predicted model, not a curated record. Lineage: Eukaryota; Metazoa; Arthropoda; Insecta; Hymenoptera; Braconidae. The transcript is spliced from 6 exons.
GAAAAAUGAUGAUUUUGCUGUACGUGGACCAAUAAUAACAUUUAGACAAAACAGCCAACGGUAGAUAAAGUAGACAAAGCUAGAAGUAGAGAAAGUGUCUCCAUCAUCAGUUAGACUCGAGGUUUUGAGGUAGAAACAAUAAAAGUACAUGAUAGGCUUUGACAGAAAUAUACGAAUGACAAUUAGUGAUAAUUCAGGAAUAAUAAUAAGAAGAAAAAAAAGAAAAAUUUAAUAAAACUCGCUGAAAUGGCGAGUACUGAAGACUCAAAUGAAAUCCUUGUGAAAAAUAGACUUAGACAAAAUGAGGACAUUGGUGUUGUAAAUAGCUUUGGCUCAAUGGACAUUGGCAGAGGACAUCGGUUGCGAAGUGAAACUGAUAGCUUUCCAAACAUAAAUGAAAGACCUGUCGACGAUAUUUCUAUUGAAUUUUUUUAUACGCCACACACUUUAACAUUACUUUUUCUUUCAAUUAGUGCUGUAAUCUACUUUGCCUUUGUCAGAGACAAUCAUGAUGUUGAUGACAAUUUAUGGGCUGGAAUUUUAUGUGUUAUAUUUUUUUUCCUCAUAAUAUCAGUGUUGACAUUCCCAAAUGGACCAUUUACAAGGCCACAUCCAGCUGUUUGGCGAAUCGUCUUUGGCUGUAGUGUUCUCUACCUCAUGUUUUUACUAUUUAUGCUCUUUCAAAGCUACGAAACUGUAAAGAAAAUCCUCGUAUGGGUGGAUCCAGGAUUAUCGACGUUUCGUAUUGAUAUGGACAAAGAAUAUGGUGUCAACUGUUCCGAUAUUACUGUCGAAAAAAUUUGGAAUCAUCUUGAUGUCUUUGCUCUGGCCCAUUUUCUCGGUUGGGUUUUCAAAGCUGUACUGGUCCGUCAUUUAGGUUUACUUUGGGCAACAAGUAUUAUGUGGGAAUUAACAGAAAUGGCAUUUGCACAUUUGUUACCAAAUUUCGUCGAGUGCUGGUGGGAUGCCGUUAUCCUGGAUGUCGCAGUGUGCAAUGCACUUGGAAUUUGGGUUGGUUUAAAAAUUUGCUCAAUACUGGAGAUGCGAGAAUACAAAUGGGUCAGCGUACGUGAUAUUGAGAGUACUACUGGAAAACUAAAACGUGUUGUUUUACAAUUUACACCCGCAAGCUGGACUUCGGUACGAUGGCUGGAUCCAUACUGUACAUACAUGCGUUUUGUUGCUCUCUGUCAGCUUGUCAUUUUUUGGCAAAUUUCCGAACUUAACACAUUUUUCCUUAAACAUGUUUAUGAAUUUCCACCGUCACAUCCAUUUGUCGUGAGUCGAUUGGUGUUGGUUGGCGUUAUUGUUGCACCCUCCGUUAGGCAAUAUUAUAUGUAUGCUACCGAUCCGACAUGUAAACGAGUUGGUACUCAAUGCUGGGUGUACGGUGCGAUAAUGGUCACGGAAGCAUUAUUAUGCAUUCGUCAUGGUGCUGAACUUUUUGAACGAACUCAGGCAGUUAAUAUCAUAGUCUGGUUACUAUGUCAAACAUUAAUAUCAGUUCUAUGUGUCUACGGUUGUGUUCUCUGGCAUCAAUACUUUGAGAAAGGAAAUAAUACCAUGGCGCCAGACACAAGUCCAACAACGCCUGAAUCACCUGGUACAUAGUUUUUAAAUAUAUUGUUUAUUUUUACGCUUUAUUAUUUAUGUUUUAAACUCGAUUACUAAAAAAAGAAACCUGGGAGGUGCUAAAAAAGAAUCUUUGGAACAUUGUGAUGAUAAGAAGAAAGACCUGUAAAGAUGAAGACAAAUUACAAUAGAAAUUUUUUUUUU